AGAGUUGAAGCUCCUCUCCCUUCCGAACAGCUCCGCGCACCGCCCCGCGACACAGCCCGGCGCAACUACUUUCUUCUCUCUCCUUUCUUUCUUCCUCUCCUUUUUCCCCUGCUGGGUAGUGGCUGCGGCGGGGUGGGGGAGACUUUGAAUGACCGAGCUCGCGUCCACCUUUCUCUUCAUGUCGACGUCCCUGGAAACGGCCACACGGAUGCCAUGGUUACUUUUGCCACGCUCUGCCUGAAGACAAGGGAGAAGACGUGGCAGCUCCAGUGCAGACCUCAGGAUCCUCUGUGACAUCUCCUCUGGAGAAUGGACAUGCUCAAAGUCAGAUGGAAGGGAAAGACCUGGACAGGCACGCUGCUGUGUUGAAAGGCAGGUUUGGAGAAGAACUGUUAAAACCAUAUAAUAACCACGUGAAUACCUUGCUAGGAUGCCUUGCGGUCUUUGGAAGGACAGAGGCAAGUGAAGAAACCUGAAGCUGAAGCUUCAUUAGCUUUGUGGCGAGUCAACCCUGGUCAAGGUUGGAGGUGUGGCUCAGAAGAACUGAACCAACAGAUACUUCCAGCUGUACACACUCAUUCCAGCCAGCGACACCCACUCUUCAGACCCAUGGUCCCAGGCUGCAGCAAAGUUCUGAGACUAAGGACUGUGUUCUGGGCAAGGACCUCCUGAGGCACCCAUGCUGCAGUUCCCAGAGGCUUAAGGACGGCUGCGGGACAUGUGGGCGUCUGGGUUGCACUCUGAAGGACUGUAUUCCCCAAUGCAUGGGGGAAGAAACUGAGGGUGGAGAGUCUCCAGGACAGAGCAGAAUGGUGCUGGUGUUGAAAUCUGAGACGAUGUGACUACAAUGCCUGUGCCCUUUGCUGGGAGGCUAAUCA
RNAcentral lists this small RNA (878 nucleotides) under Pongo abelii (Sumatran orangutan). RNAcentral describes it as "processed transcript". Lineage: Eukaryota; Metazoa; Chordata; Mammalia; Primates; Hominidae. The record is from RNAcentral.